Triticum aestivum (bread wheat) is the source of this 135-nucleotide non-coding RNA. NCBI's taxonomy places the organism in Eukaryota, Viridiplantae, Streptophyta, Magnoliopsida, Poales, Poaceae. The record is from Rfam.
UUUCUACUCCCUCCGUCUGAAAAUACUUGUCAUCAAAAUGGAUAAAAAUAGAUGUAUCUAAAACUAAAAUACGUCUAGAUACAUUUCCUUUUAUCCAUUUUGAUGACAAGUAUUUCCGGACGGAGGGAGUAUUUG